Molecule: transfer RNA, 76 nt
Filed under: uncultured Cytophagales bacterium
Lineage: Bacteria; Pseudomonadati; Bacteroidota; Sphingobacteriia; Sphingobacteriales
Description: tRNA-Gly-CCC
Rfam family: tRNA
About the family: Transfer RNA (tRNA) molecules are approximately 80 nucleotides in length. Their secondary structure includes four short double-helical elements and three loops (D, anti-codon, and T loops).
Source: RNAcentral
GCGGGAAUAGCUCAGUUGGUAGAGCGCCGGCUUCCCAAGCCUGAGGUCGCGGGUUCGAACCCCGUUUCCCGCUCCU